UACGUAGGGGGCUAGCGUUGUCCGGAUUUAUUGGGCGUAAAGAGCGUGUAGGCGGCUAGACAGGUCCGUUGUGAAACUAGAGGCUUAACCUCUAGACGUCGAUGGAAACCGUCUGGCUAGAGUCCGGAAGAGGAGAAUGGAAUUCCUGGUGUAGCGGUGAAAUGCGUAGAGAUCAGGAAGAACACCGGUGGCGAAAGCGCUCUGCUGGACCUUAACUGACACUGAGGGACGAAAGCUAGGGGAGCGAAUGGG
Molecule: ribosomal RNA, 252 nt
Filed under: uncultured bacterium
Lineage: Bacteria
Description: partial 16S ribosomal RNA
Rfam family: Bacterial small subunit ribosomal RNA
Source: RNAcentral